UUUUCCCCUGCAGCCCUUUUAGUACCUUUAUUACUUUUGCGUUCUUCAGGAGCCUGCUCUAUGUAACGUCAUUCAGCUGUGAUGGACAAGCGGAGGCAAGGGAAGGAGGGGGUGUGAAACUUGAGCUGGUGGAUGAGAGGCGGGAGCGAGAUUUGAGAUAGUGGAUGAGAGGAGGGAGUGAGAUUUGAGAUGGUGGAUGGGAGGAGGGAGCGAGACUUGCAAAUGCGAUGGUGGAUGGGAGGGGGAGCGAGCGGAGAGGAAUCCUGUGACAGGGAGGCAGCUGCACGAGAUGUGAGACGGGAGCGAAAGACAAGCCAAUACGUGGGAGGGACUGGAACAGGCGAAGCGUGUUUCGUGUGUGGGAUGUUACUGUGAUAGACUGCAGUUAUUAUUUUCCUGAGCGCUUGGACUGGGUGACGGUGUUUGAUGAAACCUACUUGGUGUUCGGUGCGUCUAAUAUCUCACGGUCAUGAACCGUCAAUUUAUGGAGGUCUGCUUCCUGUAAGAAUUUUAAACCGUCUUGUGGAUCAUCAGGGGAAGACCUGUAGAAUUUCCUGAAGUGUUCGGCAAUUAUGUCUCUAAUUUGUUUCACAUCAUGUGUACAUCCACUAGAUGUUUUGAUUUUUCGUAUGUAUGUAUUGCGGAUUUUUCUUUUAGCUAUUUGUGCCAGUAAUUUCCCUGAUUUGUUACCAUAUCUGUAGAAUUUGUUUGCUGUAUGACUUGAUUUGUGUGCUUUUUCCGUUAAUAAAGUAUCAAAAAGUUA
Molecule: long non-coding RNA, 763 nt
Organism: Xenopus laevis (African clawed frog)
Lineage: Eukaryota; Metazoa; Chordata; Amphibia; Anura; Pipidae
Exons: 3
Source: RefSeq, a predicted model, not a curated record